CCUACGGGUGGCAGCAGUGGGGAAUAUUGCACAAUGGGGGAAACCCUGAUGCAGCGACGCCGCGUGAGUGAAGAAGUAUCUCGGUACGUAAAGCUCUAUCAGCAGGGAAGAAAAUGACGGUACCUGACUAAGAAGCCACGGCUAACUACGUGCCAGCAGCCGCGGUAAUACGUAGGUGGCAAGCGUUAUCCGGAAUGACUGGGCGUAAAGGGUGCGUAGGUGGUUUAGUAAGUUGGCGGUGUAAUUCCGGGGCUCAACCUCGGCGCUACCGCCAAAACUAUUAGACUAGAGUGCAGGAGGGGUAAGUGGAAUUCCUAGUGUAGCGGUGGAAUGCGUAGAUAUUAGGAGGAACAUCAGGGGCGAAGGCGACUUACUGGACUGUAACUGACACUGAGGCACGAAAGCGUGGGGAGCAAACAAGAUUAGAUACCCGAGUAGUC
This 440-nucleotide ribosomal RNA is filed under the name uncultured bacterium. RNAcentral describes it as "partial 16S ribosomal RNA". It matches the Rfam family "Bacterial small subunit ribosomal RNA", at positions 338 to 795 of the family's 1533-position model. The record is from RNAcentral.